This 208-nucleotide long non-coding RNA is filed under the name Elaeis guineensis (African oil palm). RNAcentral's name for it is "long non-coding RNA (EGUI_LNC051739)". Lineage: Eukaryota; Viridiplantae; Streptophyta; Magnoliopsida; Arecales; Arecaceae. The record is from RNAcentral.
UCCGAACAUCAGGUACCAUUGCUAGAUGGUCACUUCGAUUAGUAUAGAAAUUGGUUCUUGUACUACCAGCUUAGGUUCGAACCUGCGGGGUCACACACAUUAGAGGUUCCUAUUUGAUCUGAUGGCUGGUGUAGAAUUCUAUGUGUCUGGGACUCUGUGAUCGAGAAUCAGGAUUCUCUGAUUAUGAGUUCCACACAUUAUGGGUACC